UAGCACUACAAUACUUUUCAGCCCAUGAUUACAUAAGCUCAUAAUGGCAUAGCCCUCCUCUCUGCUUUUCCUUUAGUUAACAGAAGUUCACAUGAUUUAAUAGGUGAGAUACCACGUGUCAAUGACUAGGGUGGUUUGAGGAGACAAAGUUCAUUGUGUAGACAAUUCAGAUGACAUAAUACUACAGGAGAGUAACUGGGUCCUUGUGCUCUGAUUCUGCCAGCGUGCAACUUAAAGCUCUGAGCUGGUCUGCUCCUGCAGUACUGAAGAUCAAGGUAAUCAAAACAAAAAGGGAUAAACCAGCCAACAUGAAGAGUAUCUUGAAGGGCAAAAGUAAGUUUAUAGACUAUGAUUUUAGCAAUAAUGCACAUUUUAAAAUGUCGAAAUUAAAGAUGUUUGUGUGUGUGUCACAGAAGACGAAGCGCCUGAAGCUGAUCUGAGUGUAACUACCGGAGCUGUACGCUGGAAUAUUCCUGAUGAAGAUCUUCAGGUUCACAAGUCAGUUCCCAGCAAGAUCAGUCAGAGUCCUAGACAAGAGGACUUGAAGGAUCUCCGCAGCCUGCAGGAAAGCAUUAAGUUUAUCACACAGUGGAAACAGCAGGUGGAACAUGUCUGCAGGCCUGGCUCCAGUUCAGAUGAAGGCCCAAUUAUCAGUGUGCAUGCAGAGCCGCAUAGUAUGGAGCAAUGCCGCAAACUCAUUCUUGAGUGGGCAAAGGAGCUCAAGAAAGUUGACGAUUUGUUCAGUGAGGCCACAUGGCGAAAAGAAAGACAUGCACUGUUGGAGCAGGAAGAGAACAAGGUGGAUUCUGCCAAGCAGAUGGAGCAGAUGAUCAUGGAAUGGGCUAAAGAGCUGCAGACUGUGUGGGAGGUUUGACCCCAUCAGACAGAUGUAGUAAUGUGCCAAAUCUAUAUACAGUAUAUUAUGAGCACAUGUAAUUGUUUCUUUUUUUUACUUAUGUACAGCGGUUAGGUGUGAUGAGACAAGAAUUAGCCCAGUUUCUCAAGCAGCUGGAACUGAAGAAGAAGAAAAUCUUGACUCUGUUGCCUUUUUUGGAGUUCAUAACUUGGUCUCUACUGAAACAGGACAGCCAGGUACAAGAUUAAGAUAAGAGAUCAAUAAACAGGAAAAAUGUAACUAGAGUCCAUAGUGUACACCCAUAAACUAGACAAACAUUCAUGAUCAAGAGAUACUGCUUAUGUAAACAGUUUGAAACAUUUUAGAGACAGGUACGAUCAGCCCCAAUGUAUUUUGAAGAUCUAGACAGAAAUUUAGUUUCAGCAUUAUUACAAAUGCAGAUGUUUA
RNAcentral lists this long non-coding RNA (1303 nucleotides) under Carassius auratus (goldfish). RNAcentral describes it as "lncRNA (ENSCARG00000068476.1)". Lineage: Eukaryota; Metazoa; Chordata; Actinopteri; Cypriniformes; Cyprinidae. The record is from RNAcentral.